GUCCACGCCGUAAACGGUGGGCACUAGGUGUGGGACCAUUCCACGGUUUCUGUGCCGCAGCUAACGCAUUAAGUGCCCCGCCUGGGGAGUACGGCCGCAAGGCUAAACUCAAAGGAAUUGACGGGGCCCGCACAAGCGGCGGAGCAUGUGGAUUAAUUCGAUGCAACGCGAAGAACCUUACCUGGGUUUGACAUGCACCAGACGCUGCCGGAGACGGUAGUUCCCUUGUGGUUGGUGUGCAGGUGGUGCAUGGCUGUCGU
This 260-nucleotide ribosomal RNA is filed under the name uncultured bacterium. RNAcentral's name for it is "partial 16S ribosomal RNA". It matches the Rfam family "Bacterial small subunit ribosomal RNA", at positions 793 to 1055 of the family's 1533-position model. The record is from RNAcentral.